AUGGACGCCAUGUCGUGCCUGGCGCCGCCGCCGCAAGCGCCGUUCCUCUCGGCGUCCUCCUCGCUCGGCCCGGCCUACUACACCGACGCCGCCCUCGCGCGCGCGCUCAACUUCUCCGCCAUGCCCGAGUACGAGUACGACUACUCGCCGGCCGCAUCCUCGCCCUCCAACUCCGCGCUCUCCUCGUCGUCCCUCCUCGCGGACUUCCCCUGCGGCACCGGCGGCAGCAACUGGUUCGCCUCCACGUCCGCGCCGCCCACGGGUUCGCUCGCCUGCGACUCCGUGCUGGUCGCGUCGGACGCGGCCCCGCGGCCGCCGUCCACCCCCGUCGCCGUGGGCGCCGCGGCGAACAAGAGGCGUGCGGGCCUGGGGCCCAACGCGGCGGGCGCGGGGCGUGCCGGGAAGCGGCGCGCGCGGGCGUCGAAGCGCGCGCCCACCACGUACAUCAGCACCGACCCCGCCAACUUCCGGCUCAUGGUGCAGCACGUUACCGGCGUCCAGUCCGAGCCGGGCACCGACGACGGCAGCGUCCUGCACGCAUCGUUCGACGCGUCCUCCGCCGCGGCGCUGCUGGACUGCCACCCGUUCGGGGACGCGCUGCGGCUGCCGUCGGACGCCGACGCGGCCGCGCUCCAUCGCCACCACCAGCAGCAGCUGGUGCAGCAGCAACAGCCGUGCUACCCGACGCUGGACUCGUGGAGCGUCAUGUACGAGAGCAGCCAGCUGCUGUAG
Molecule: ribosomal RNA, 732 nt
Filed under: Triticum aestivum (bread wheat)
Lineage: Eukaryota; Viridiplantae; Streptophyta; Magnoliopsida; Poales; Poaceae
Description: partial small subunit ribosomal RNA
Source: RNAcentral